AAUGAACGCUGGCGGCAUGCCUAACACAUGCAAGUCGAUCGAAGGCUUCGGCCUUAGUGGCGCACGGGUGCGUAACGCGUGGGAAUCUGCCCUUGGGUUCGGAAUAACAGUUAGAAAUGACUGCUAAUACCGGAUGAUGUCGUAAGACCAAAGAUUUAUCGCCCAAGGAUGAGCCCGCGUAGGAUUAGCUAGUUGGUGGGGUAAAGGCCUACCAAGGCGACGAUCCUUAGCUGGUCUGAGAGGAUGAUCAGCCACACUGGGACUGAGACACGGCCCAGACUCCUACGGGAGGCAGCAGUGGGGAAUAUUGGACAAUGGGCGAAAGCCUGAUCCAGCAAUGCCGCGUGAGUGAUGAAGGCCUUAGGGUUGUAAAGCUCUUUUACCCGGGAUGAUAAUGACAGUACCGGGAGAAUAAGCUCCGGCUAACUUCGUG
RNAcentral lists this ribosomal RNA (433 nucleotides) under uncultured bacterium. RNAcentral describes it as "partial 16S ribosomal RNA". It matches the Rfam family "Bacterial small subunit ribosomal RNA", at positions 29 to 507 of the family's 1533-position model. The record is from RNAcentral.